GGCGAACGGGUGAGUAACACGUAGAUAACCUGCCCUUAAGACGAGGAUAACCGUUGGAAACGAUGGCUAAAACUGGAUAGGAAUAUUGGAGGCAUCUCUGAUAUUUUAAAAGACCUAGUAAUAGGUAUACUUAAGGAGGGGUCUGCGGCGCAUUAGUUAGUUGGUGAGGUGAUGGCUUACCAAGACGAUGAUGCGUAGCCGGACUGAGAGGUUGAACGGCCACAUUGGGACUGAGAAACGGCCCAAACUCC
RNAcentral lists this ribosomal RNA (251 nucleotides) under uncultured bacterium. RNAcentral's name for it is "partial 16S ribosomal RNA". It matches the Rfam family "Bacterial small subunit ribosomal RNA", at positions 97 to 339 of the family's 1533-position model. The record is from RNAcentral.